Molecule: ribosomal RNA, 1401 nt
Filed under: uncultured bacterium
Lineage: Bacteria
Description: bacterial SSU rRNA
Rfam family: Bacterial small subunit ribosomal RNA
Source: RNAcentral
GAAUUCGCCCUUAGAGUUUGAUCCUGGCUCAGGAUGAACGCUGGCGGCGUGCUUAACACAUGCAAGUCGAACGAAGCACUUUACCUUGAUUCCUUCGGGUUGAUUGGUACUGUGACUGAGUGGCGGACGGGUGAGUAACGCGUGGGUAACCUGCCCCAUACAGGGGGAUAACAGAUAGAAAUGUCUGCUAAUACCGCAUAAGACCACAGCGCCGCAUGGCGCAGGGGUAAAAACUCCGGUGGUAUGGGAUGGAUCCGCGUCUGAUUAGCUAGUUGGUGGGGUAAAGGCCCACCAAGGCGACGAUCAGUAGCCGACCUGAGAGGGUGACCGGCCACAUUGGGACUGAGACACGGCCCAAACUCCUACGGGAGGCAGCAGUGGGGAAUAUUGCACAAUGGGGGAAACCCUGAUGCAGCGACGCCGCGUGAAGGAUGAAGUAUUUCGGUAUGUAAACUUCUACCAGCAGGGAAGAAAAUGACGGUACCUGACUAAGAAGCCCCGGCUAACUACGUGCCAGCAGCCGCGGUAAUACGUAGGGGGCAAGCGUUAUCCGGAUUUACUGGGUGUAAAGGGAGCGUAGACGGCAUGGCAAGUCUGAUGUGAAAACCCGGGGCUCAACCCCGGGACUGCAUUGGAAACUGUCAGGCUAGAGUGUCGGAGAGGCAAGUGGAAUUCCUAGUGUAGCGGUGAAAUGCGUAGAUAUUGGGAGGAACACCAGUGGCGAAGGCGGUCUGCUGGACAGCAACUGACGGUGAGGCGCGAAAGCGUGGGGAGCAAACAGGAUUAGAUACCCUGGUAGUCCACGCUGUAAACGAUGGAUACUAGGUGUGCGGGGACUGACCCCCUGCGUGCCGCAGCUAACGCAAUAAGUAUCCCACCUGGGGAGUACGAUCGCAAGGUUGAAACUCAAAGGAAUUGACGGGGGCCCGCACAAGCGGUGGAUUAUGUGGUUUAAUUCGAUGCAACGCGAAGAACCUUACCAGGGCUUGACAUCCUACUAACGAAGUAGAGAUACAUUAGGUACCCUUCGGGGGAAGUAGAGACAGGUGGUGCAUGGUUGUCGUCAGCUCGUGUCGUGAGAUGUUGGGUUAAGUCCCGCAACGAGCGCAACCCUUAUUGUUAGUUGCUACGCAAGAGCACUCUAGCGAGACUGCCGUUGACAAAACGGUGGAAGGUGGGGACGACGUCAAAUCAUCAUGCCCCUUAUGUCCUGGGCUACACACGUAAUACAAUGGCGGUCAACAGAGGGAUGCAAAGCUGUGAAGUGGAGCGAACCCCUAAAAGCCGUCCCAGUUCAGAUUGCAGUCUGCAACUCGACUGCAUGAAGCUGGAAUCGCUAGUAAUCGCGAAUCAGAAUGUCGCGGUGAAUACGUUCCCGGGUCUUGCACACACCGCCCGUCA